GGGGGAAUCGAGCUGUAGGGACCUAGCGAGCCAACCUCCCACCCGUGUUUACUGUACCUUAGUUGCUUCGGCGGGCCCGCCAUUCAUGGCCGCCGGGGGCUCUCAGCCCCGGGCCCGCGCCCGCCGGAGACACCACGAACUCUGUCUGAUCUAGUGAAGUCUGAGUUGAUUGUAUCGCAAUCAGUUAAAACUUUCAACAAUGGAUCUCUUGGUUCCGGCAUCGAUGAAGAACGCAGCGAAAUGCGAUAACUAGUGUGAAUUGCAGAAUUCCGUGAAUCAUCGAGUCUUUGAACGCACAUUGCGCCCCCUGGUAUUCCGGGGGGCAUGCCUGUCCGAGCGUCAUUGCUGCCCAUCAAGCACGGCUUGUGUGUUGGGUCGUCGUCCCCUCUCCGGGGGGGACGGGCCCCAAAGGCAGCGGCGGCACCGCGUCCGAUCCUCGAGCGUAUGGGGCUUUGUCACCCGCUCUGUAGGCCCGGCCGGCGCUUGCCGAACGCAAAUCAAUCUUUUUCCAGGUUGACCUCGGAUCAGGUAGGGAUACCCGCUGAACUUAAGCAUUCUAAAGGGGGGGGAAAAAAAAAAAAUUGUUCCUCGGGCCU
This 596-nucleotide unclassified non-coding RNA is filed under the name Aspergillus oryzae. RNAcentral's name for it is "sequence contains ITS1, 5.8S rRNA gene and ITS2". The stretch from base 189 to 342 matches the Rfam family "5.8S ribosomal RNA". Lineage: Eukaryota; Fungi; Ascomycota; Eurotiomycetes; Eurotiales; Aspergillaceae. The record is from RNAcentral.